GAAUAUUGGACAAUGGGCGAAAGCCUGAUCCAGCAAUGCCGCGUGAGUGAUGAAGGCCCUAGGGUUGUAAAGCUCUUUUACCCGGGAAGAUAAUGACUGUACCGGGAGAAUAAGCCCCGGCUAACUCCGUGCCAGCAGCCGCGGUAAUACGGAGGGGGCUAGCGUUGUUCGGAAUUACUGGGCGUAAAGCGCACGUAGGCGGCGAUCUAAGUCAGGGGUGAAAGCCCGGGGCUCAACCCCGGAAUUGCCCUUGAGACUGGAUUGCUUGAACACGGGAGAGGUGAGUGGAAUUCCGAGUGUAGAGGUGAAAUUCGUAGAUAUUCGGAAGAACACCAGUGGCGAAGGCGGCUCACUGGACCGUUGUUGACGCUGAGGUGCGAAAGCGUGGGGAGCAAAC
RNAcentral lists this ribosomal RNA (397 nucleotides) under uncultured bacterium. Its description in RNAcentral is "bacterial SSU rRNA". It matches the Rfam family "Bacterial small subunit ribosomal RNA", at positions 359 to 773 of the family's 1533-position model. The record is from RNAcentral.